CUCUACCACCCACCCAGUCAGUCUCCUUCCAGCAGGUGCAGCUGGGAGGUCACCCUGGGCUCCUCUCCACAGGUGGGAAGCAGAACCAUGCUGGGCCCCCUCGCCUUCCUGUGCACCCUCCUGUUUCCUGGCAGCUGGGCAGCGAUCAGCCUGGAGCAGCCCUCUAUGGUCGUGGCGCAGGCAGGCCGCUCAGCCACUCUGUGGUGCAAAGCCAGCACCAAGGUCAGCUACAUCCACUGGUACCACCACCAGGAAGGUGCGGCCCCCAAGAGGCUCCUCAGACUGGACAUGUCCGGAACGUUUGUGCAGAGAGAUGGGGGCCUGAAAGCAGACAAAGUCAAUGCCAAGAGGGGCAAGGGUAGCAACAGCUGUGACCUGUCCGUGCUGAAGCUGGAGAAGAGCGACGAGGGCGUAUACUACUGUGCUGCCUGGGAAGCUCACAGCUGCACACAGUGGGCUGGGUAUGGCUGGGGCCACAAAGUGUUCGGUGCUGGCACACUGCUCAGGGUCACAGCUAAAAGCCCUGAUGAAGACACUUCCCCCAAGCCCACGAUUUUUCUUCCUUCAAAUGCUGAAAGAAAACUCCACAAGGCUGGAACAUAUCUUUGUCUUCUUGAGGAUUUUUUCCCUGAUGUUAUCAAGAUAGAUUGGAAAGAGAAAAAUGGCAGAGUAAUAUUGAAAUCCCAGCAGGGAGACACCAUGAAGAUUAAGGACACAUACAUGAAAUACACCUGGCUGACCGUGAGAGAAGACUCAAUGGGCAAAGAACACAAAUGUAUCGUCAAACACGAGAAGAAUAAAGGAGGGGUUGAUCAAGAGAUUCUUUUUCCUUCAAUAAACACAGCAGAUUUGGUGACGGGAUCCAAAGUGGGCUUCCAGAAGGAAUCAGAGACAAGUAGAAACACAAGGCCAGUAACCGUGAGCCCUUCGAGUACACUGUCUACAUCACCAUUUUCAAGUGCCACGGAGCUCACUGCUGUUAACUCUACAGAAGCUUCUUCGAAAGACGAAAAUGACCCCCUGCAGCUGCAGCUCGUGAACACCUCUGCCUACUGCACCUACCUCCUCCUCCUCGUCAAGAGCCUGGUCUACACCGUCAUCACCGCCAUCUGUCUGCUUGGGAGAGCGGCACUCUGUGACAAUGGGAAGAGUUCCUGACCCGUGGUGGCACAGGGUCCAUGUUUCUCCAUUGACUGUUGUCACUGAAAGUGUCUGCUAUGGGUCUAGCGGGGCUUUCUUUCUGGGUGGUUCAUUUCAGUUCACACGUUGUCUUUUUCUAUGUGUCAUCAUUGCAGAAUGGGUUUGCAAACUCCUGGGCAAACAGGAAAUGUCACUCUGCACCAAGAACAGACUCUGCCAUGAGUCAGGGGUGGGGCCGGGGGCACCACAGGGGCUUCAGCACCGCUCUCUCCUUCACGUCUACCAGCUCGUCAGCCACCCAGCACCCUCGCCUCUGAGUACAGCUCAGAGCGUGCAGCUUCCAUCGCGGCCCCUGGAGCUCUGUAUCCAGAUAACUGCCUGGAGGCCUUUUAUUUUACAUACAUGGAAGCC
This is a non-coding RNA of Panthera uncia (snow leopard), 1551 nucleotides long. The record is from the annotation of a RefSeq genome assembly. NCBI's taxonomy places the organism in Eukaryota, Metazoa, Chordata, Mammalia, Carnivora, Felidae.